Molecule: ribosomal RNA, 253 nt
Filed under: uncultured bacterium
Lineage: Bacteria
Description: partial 16S ribosomal RNA
Rfam family: Bacterial small subunit ribosomal RNA
Source: RNAcentral
AACGUAGGAUCCGAGCGUUGUCCGGAAUCACUGGGUGUAAAGGGUGCGUAGGCGGGCUUGCGCGUCAAGGGUUAAAGACCUCGGCUCAACCGAGGGAAUGCCCUUGAUACGGCAGGCCUUGAGUGCGGGAGAGGAUGGUGGAAUUCCUGGUGUAGGGGUGAAAUGCGGAGAGAUCAGGAGGAACACCGAAGGCGAAGGCAGCCAUCUGGACCGCCACUGACGCUGAGGCAAGAAAGCGUGGGGAGCAAACGGG